Molecule: non-coding RNA, 170 nt
Filed under: uncultured Pygmaiobacter sp.
Lineage: Bacteria; Bacillati; Bacillota; Clostridia; Eubacteriales; Oscillospiraceae
Description: Lysine riboswitch
Rfam family: Lysine riboswitch aptamer
About the family: Riboswitches are metabolite binding domains within certain messenger RNAs that serve as precision sensors for their corresponding targets. Allosteric rearrangement of mRNA structure is mediated by ligand binding, and this results in modulation of gene expression. This family includes riboswitches that sense lysine in a number of genes involved in lysine metabolism, including lysC.
Source: RNAcentral
AGAGGUAGAGGCGCGCCGUCGAUGAGUAGCCGGGAGGAGGCCGAAAGCCAGAGAACCCCGGGGAAAGGCGCCGGCGCCGAAGCGGCGGGAUCGAACCCGCCGCUGGGCCCGCAUCGAACAGGUGCGGGACUGUCCUUUCAGCAUUGCCGGGCUGAAAGGGAGCGCUAUUG